AUAUUUAUAUAUAUAUAGCUCAACAGAGAAUUGAAGUUAUAGCACCAAACUUCUAGUUCACAAAAAGAAAAAAAAAACAAAAAAAAAACCUUCUUUCUUAAAAAGAAUGAAAAUCUACAUGAAACCAAACAUGAAACCUUUACUUAGGUUUCUUGACUUUGGUUGUUUUUCAUCUCCGACUACAACUUCAAACAAAACUACGGAAAAGAUUGAGGUUAGAAGCAGAGCAAUAAAGUUUAAACGUGGCUUUAGAACGCCACCAAAGCCACGACCUGAUCCAGGAAGAGGUGGACAAGUUCACGCAGCUGCUGCUUAAUCAUAUUGUACAUAUGUUCGGAAUUAGAUGUCACGUUGAUGGUGUAAUUUAAACUAGUAUUAAGCCAAUAAGGUGACGAUCAAAUCAAGACGGAGGUAGUAGUUUUCUCCCAUCUCAAGUUGGAAUGAUGGACUUUGUUUGCAGUUUUUGAUAGCUAGUUAAUAAGAAACUUUCGUUUUUAGACAUUAUUGUAAAUUUUCUAUUUAUAUCUUUUAGAUGUGGCUCAUAAAAUCCUAUAGUUUUGAAUAUAAAUUUUCAGAAAAUCUUCUGAAAAAUGUAAUCCCACCCUGUAAUCCUGUAUCACCUUGGGGCUGAGGUACACAGUACAUGUUUUAAAAAAAAAUAAAAAAAAAUAAAAAGCAAAGAAUGUAUUUAUGUAUGAAAAAAUUAAAGGGAGCUUUCAUUUAAUUUCC
This is a long non-coding RNA of Chenopodium quinoa (quinoa), 729 nucleotides long. RefSeq lists it as uncharacterized. The transcript has 2 exons. The record is from RefSeq and is a predicted model, not a curated record. NCBI's taxonomy places the organism in Eukaryota, Viridiplantae, Streptophyta, Magnoliopsida, Caryophyllales, Amaranthaceae.